UACAGAGGUGGCAAGCGUUGUUCGGAAUUACUGGGCGUAAAGGGCGCGUAGGCGGUUUUGUAAGUCCCGCGUGAAAUCCCCCGGCUCAACUGGGGAACUGCGCGGGAAACUGCGAGGCUUGAGUUCGGGAGAGGGAAGCGGAAUUCCGGGUGUAGCGGUGAAAUGCGUAGAUAUCCGGAGGAACACCGGUGGCGAAGGCGGCUUCCUGGACCGACACUGACGCUGAGGCGCGAAAGCUAGGGGAGCAAACGGG
RNAcentral lists this ribosomal RNA (253 nucleotides) under uncultured bacterium. Its description in RNAcentral is "partial 16S ribosomal RNA". It matches the Rfam family "Bacterial small subunit ribosomal RNA", at positions 524 to 776 of the family's 1533-position model. The record is from RNAcentral.